UUUGGCAUAAUAUGAUGAUUUUGGGGGUUUAUAUGGCCUAACAUGAUGAUUUUGGGGAUUUACUUUGGCAUAACAUGACGAUUUUGGGGUUUCACUUUGGCCGCAUAACAUGACGAUUUUGGAGGUUUACUUUGGCAUAACAUGACGAUUUUGGGGGUUUAUUUUGGCAUAACAUGAUGAUUUUGGGGGUUUACUUUGGCAUAACAUGAUGAUUUUGGAGGUUUACUUUGGCAUAACAUGAUGAUUUUGGAGGUUUAGUUUGGCAUAAAAUGACGAUUUUGGGGGUUUACUUUGGCAUAACAUGAUGAUUUUGGAGGUUUACUUUGGCAUAACAUGACGAUUUUGGGGGUUUACUUUGGCAUAACAUGAUGAUUUUGGAGGUUUACUUUGGCAUAACAUGAUGAUUUUGGAGGUUUACUUUGGCAUAACAUGACGAUUUUGGGGGUUUACUUUGGCAUAACAUGAUGAUUUUGGAGGUUUACUUUGGCAUAACAUGACGAUUUUGGGGGUUUACUAUGGCAUAACAUGAUGAUUUUGGGGGUUUACUUUGGCAUAACAUGAUGAUUUUGGAGGUGUACUUUGGCAUAACAUGAUGAUUUUGGGGGUUUACUUUGGCAUAACAUGAUGAUUUUGGAGGUGUACUUUGGCAUAACAUGAUGAUUUUGGAGGUUUACUUUGGCAUAACAUGAUGAUUUUGGAGGUGUACUUUGGCAUAACAUGACGAUUUUGGGGGUUUACUUUGGCAUAACAUGAUGAUUUUGGAGGUGUACUUUGGCAUAACAUGACGAUUUUGGGGGUUUACUUUGGCAUAACAUGAUGAUUUUGGAGGUUUACUUUGGCAUAACAUGACGAUUUUGGGGGUUUACUUUGGCAUAA
Long non-coding RNA from Mytilus californianus (California mussel), 876 nucleotides. RefSeq lists it as uncharacterized. NCBI's taxonomy places the organism in Eukaryota, Metazoa, Mollusca, Bivalvia, Mytilida, Mytilidae. The record is from RefSeq and is a predicted model, not a curated record. The transcript is spliced from 6 exons.